ACCGACCCAUUGCCCAAUCAGAAGAAGCAUGGGAAACCGUCUUCAGUCUUUUCUGUCACUCCUUUCAUAAUGACGAUUUCAUUUCCAAGGUAAGCCAAAAGAAAUCAGUCCGUUUUAUUUUCUUGUUCAAAGCCUUUCAUUCUUCAUUUUUCUUCUCUGGAGACUUCUUCUUCACUUCCCCCAUCCAGCCGAGCUUGAUCCAUUUGCAUAAUCUGGAACUCCCCUAUCCAGGUAAAACUCUUCUCCUCUUCUCAAUGAUUCUGUUGCUAUGAUAUGAGCAAGACCAUUUGCGGAUCUAGGUAUAUACUGAAAUCUGAUGUUUUCAAGUCCAUAGAUUUCCUGUUGAAUGUCAAAAAUGUAUACUUCCACCAUAGAUCUAUCUUGACUCUUCGAUUUACAUUUUUUGACUAUUGUGAGGGAGUCUCCUUCAAGGAUCAAAUGUCGCCAUCCCCUCCUGAUUCCCAUUUGAACGCCUUUCCGGCAGGCAAUUGCUUCAGCAGCAAAGGCUGAUGGAAUACCAAAAUGAAUCUCUGAAUAUGAAAAAAGAAUAGUACCAUUCGAAUCUCUGGCCACAAUACCCACACCCGACUGAUUCUUUACUUUAUCGUAAGCACCAUCAAAGUUGAUCUUCAUGAAACUUUCCUGUGGUGGCGACCAUCUCUUUUUCUCUAAGGUACGGUUCAGAUCUCUCUUCUCAAGACUAUCAAUUUCUUUGAUGUAACUGAUUAUAAGAUUUGCAACUUCCGUCCCCUUUCUAAUUUUACCUUCAUGUAUUCUUUUGUUUCUGUCACCCCAUAUUGCCCAGAGUGCACAACAAAAUACGCGACUUUGAUCAAGGUUGAGCUGCUCUAUUGCCCAGGUAAUCCACUGUACAAAAUCUUCACAAUGAUUCCUUAAAAUGCACUGAAACGAUAAUGAUCUCCAUACCUCCCUUGUAAUAUGACAGUAACGAAAUAAGUGGUUCAUUGGUUCAGCUUCUUCUCCACAUCGGGGACAGCUCGGAUUUACUACUAACUUCCGAUGUUGAAGAUUCACCUUUGUAGGCAGAUAAUUCCAAGAUAGCUUCCAUAUUGUAACCUUAAUUUUAGCUGGUAGAUUCAGGCACCAUAGUUUUUUAUAAAAAUUCCCAUAGAUGGUCUGUAAAGCAUAAGCUCUAGGAUUGUCAGUCAAUUUUUGUAAUAGUUGAUAGGCACUUCUGACCGUAAACUCACCCGACCGUUCGCCUCCCCAGAUAAGAAAAUCAUCAUGCGGUGUUUGUGCCAGAGGGAUUCUGAGGAUUCUAGCUGCGUCGUCUUCCAGGAAGGUACUAGUAAUCAACUCUUUUUUCCAACUUCUGGUAUUAUUAUCAAUCAACUCGCCAACUUUAACAUCACGCAAAAAAUUAAUAUCUGAUGAUAAUCUAAAAUUAACAGAAUCUGGAAUCCAAGCAUCGCUUAUGCAAAUAUUAGUACCCGUCCCCACCCUUCAACAAUGCCCUUUUUCCAAUAAGUCCUUUGCUGCCCAAAUACUUUUCCAUACAUACGAACUAGAAUUUCCUAACCUGAAAUUUAAGAAAUUAUCAUCCGAAAAAUACUUAGCUUUAAACACUUUCGUUACAAGCGCAUUCUGAUUAUUCAUAAUCCUCCACCCUUGCUUAGCCAAUAGAGCUACAUUGAACUGUGCCAUAUUUCGGAAGCCCAUACCACCCUCUUCUUUAGGCCUACACAUAAAUUCCCAUUGACACCAUUGAAUUCCUUUCUUUCCUUUCCCUUUCUGCCACCAAAAUCUAGCAACUAAAUUGUCAAACUCAUCACAAAGCGAUUUUGGUAAUAGAAAACAUGUCAUAGCAUAAGUAGGAAUUGCCUGAAGAACUGAUUUAAUAAAAACCUCUCUACCCCCUUGAGAGAAGAAGCGAGUACUCCAAUUAUCAAUUCUUUGCUUUAUUCUGUCUUUGAGAUUCUGAAACGAUUCUUUUUUCUUCCGGCCUACAAUAUUUGGCAAUCCAAGAUAUUUUUCCAUAUUGUUCGAAAAUCUUAUUCCCAUAUCAGCUGAUAACCUGCCUUUAUCCCCCUCCUUCAAAUUCGAACUAAAAAAGAUCAUUGAUUUAUUAAAGUUAACGCAUUGACCAGAGCAACUCUCAUAUUCUUUCAAAAUAGCUUUGAAGUUCCUUGCACUACUUUCUGUGGCUUCACCAAACAAAAUACAAUCGUCUGCGAAUAACAAGUGCGAUAUUAUCGGGCCUCUUCUGCUGGCUCUCACCCUUUUAAUCAAUCCCUCUUUUGUAGCAUUCCUGAUUAACGACGAUAAACCUUCAUUGCAAAUAAGAAAUAGAAAAGGGCUAAGUGGGUCACCCUGUCUGAGUCCUCUGGUUGGUUCAAAGACUCUACCAUUCCUCCCGUUCGUAGUAACAACAUAAGAGACUGUAGAAAUACAUCUCAUUAUAAGUACCACCCAUUCCUUCGCAAAACCCAUCCGUAUCAUAACUUCCUUCAAGAAAGCCCAUUCCACCCUAUCGUAAGCUUUACUCAUGUCAAGCUUAAUUGCCAUAAAACCUUUCUUCCCCUUACGUUUUUUCCGAAGAGUAUGCAGAAUUUCAUAAGCUAUCAAAAUAUUGUCUGAAAUUAGCCUCCCUGGGACAAAUGCACUUUGAGCACUAUCAAUGCAUCUCCCGAUGACUUCUUGAAAACGAUUGGCAAUAGCUUUAGCAAUAAUUUUAUAAAGAACUGUGCAUAAACUAAUUGGUCUAAAAUCUGCAAGGUUUGUAGGAUUGGAUUUCUUCGGAAUAAGGGUAAUCUUAGUUACAUUUAACUCUUCCACGUCUUUUCCAUUAUUUAAAACUUCUAAACAAAAAUUCCCAAUAUCUUCGCCCACUAUAUCCCAGUAUUUUUGAAAGAAUAGAGCCGGGAAGCCAUCAUAACCUGGAGCUUUUGUUGAACCCAUUCCCUUCACUGCAAUAUAAAUCUCCUCUAACGUAAAUUUUUUCAAUAGGGUUGCAUUGAUAUCCGAAGAGAUGCAAUUCUGAAUACCUGUUAGAAGAUGAGAAGGAUCUCUAACGCCUGUAGUCGAGAAAAGCUUUUGAAAAUACUGCGUCGCCAACUCAUUAAUUUUAAACUCCUCAGUAAUUCCUCUCCCAUCAUCAUUAUCAAGCCUGCUAAUUGUAUUAAUUUUUCUCCGCAUUGAUGCAUAUUUAUGAAAAAAUUCUGUAUUUUUAUCCCCCAACUUUAGCCAAUUAGCUCGUGCUCUCUGUUCCCAAUACAUCUCCUCCUUCUCGAUUUCCAUGCUCAAAUGAAUUCUUUUAUUAAUUAUCUGGUUCAUAACAUCUUCAUCAGGUUCCUUCUUCAUUAAAUCUUCAACCUCUUUUGUAGUUCUUUCUGUCAUUCCCUUCCGUUGCCUUCUAAUAGAUUUAGCCCAUUUCGAUAAGCUAAUCUGCAAGUUCUCAAGAUUUUCCAAAACCGAUCCAUUUUGUGACUUCCAGGCUUCCCGAAUUUCUUUCUCUAUUGACUCCUCUGUAGUCCACCAGGCUUCAAAUUUAUAACUUGGAACUGUCUUGAAACUGUUUAAAUUAAUUGUGCUUAUUAACAAAGGACAAUGAUCCGAAAGGGUAGACAUCAGAUGAUUAAUAUUGCCCGUUGGAAAUAACUCCAUCCAUUUUUCGUUUGCAACACCUCUAUCCAAUCUUUCCCAUAAUUCGUCUCUGGUAAAUUCCCUCUCUCCCAUGUAUACCAUACUCCUGAAUAUCCCAAGUCUAAAAAGUGACAUUCUUGUAGAGUUUCCCGAAACGCUGCCAUCUUUCUUUCAUCCAUCGGUUGACCUCUUUUUUUUCAAAAGAAUAAGCUAUUUCAUUGAAAUCUCCACUCACUAACCAAGGAUACUCUUGCUCCUGUCCCAAGAUCUUUAAUAAAUCCCAUGAAGCAUUUUUAUCUUGUGAGUAGGGAGAGCCAUAGAACCCUGUGAAUCUCCAAUCGCCAUGAGCACCUUCUCCUUUAACCAGCACAUCAAUAUGACUUAUUGACAAAGAUCUAAGGUGAAUCUGAACCUCCUCUCGCCAUGCUAAACAAAUACCACCCUGCGUACCAGUAGCUCCUACUUCAAGUCCAUUCAUGAAACCACACAUUCUUCUAAUUGCUUCCAUACGUUUUCCACUUACUUUAGUCUCCAUUAAGAAGACAAAUUGAGGAUUAUUUUGCUUCAGUAAAAAUCGAAGCUUCCUUACUGCCCGUGGACUCCCCAAUCCACGGACAUUCCAACAUAUGAUUUUCAUUGUGCCCGGUCGGCUUGCCCAUUGGCAGCCGCCGAUCCUGUCUGGUUGGAAAAUUCUAUUUGUAAAUUAAUUUCAUCCUUCGAAGUUAGAUCCUGUUCAGCACGUUUUGUCCUUUUUAGAUUCUCUUCUCGAAUCUCCUUUACCCCAUCUUCAUCUUGCACUAAUUCUGCCAAUUUCCUUUUUUGCAAUUUACGAUCAGCCUCAUGGUUCUCCUUCCCUCCCACUAUUUUCCUUCUUUUCCAACUAACUUUCCUGGCUAAAACUAGAUUACUGACAGUACUAUCUACAUUACCUCCUUCAUUGAUACCUGCUUCCUUGUGUAAUUCAAGAUCUGCAACAGCUGAUGCCAAACAAGAACUAUCCUGGAUCCCUCCCACUAAACCACUACUUUGCUCCAUGUACUGAUAUUCUUCCUGGUUCUUUGUAAUGCCUCCAACAUAAGAGCAUUGUGGUUGUGAUUUUUUCAAUAAAGCAUUAAACUUUAAACUCUCCCUUCCCACUAACUUUGAUUCUGCUUUUAAUGCUAAAGAAAAAGGUAGAUCCACUUUAAUUCUGUUUUUCUCUACAGGAGUAAAUUCCGAGCAAUCGUGGAUGCCAUGCCCUAACUUGCCACAUCCAAAACAGUAAGUCGGCAACUUUUCAUACUUAAAUGGGAUCCAAGAUUUAUUCCCAUUCCCUAUUGUGACAAAAAUACCCCUUCGAAGAGGUUUCUGAACAUUUAACAGCACUCUAAGCCGACAAAAUUCACCAAGAAUUUCAGAUCUGAUUACCUCUCCAAAAGUGACUCCUAUAGCAUGCAAAAGGUCUUUUUUAUCAAACUCUGGUAGACACGGCCCAAUUUUAAUCCAAAACGGUGAUGAGACAAGCCGAAUUUGAUCUCUUAACAUUGAUUUAUUCAACCGAUCGAACAGGAUUAAUUGCUUCCUAAACAACCAUGGUUGGCCUUCCAAAACAGUCUCUAAAUCCUCUUCCAAUUCAAACUCAAUCAAAAAGAGAUUUUGUCCAGCAACUUGAAUCACAAAUUUCUUCCUUGUCUUCCAAAUACUCCUCAUCUGUGCUUUGAAACUAUCUUGAUUGUAAGGUUUCUUUGUCCAUACAGAACAUAUCAAAGAGAAAUUGCCACUUGGUUCCACCAUCGAACUUUUAACCGAAAGUUGAAUAAGCUCUUCUGUUAAUAAGGCGAUCUCAUCUCCCCCAAACCCAUCGUUACCACCGCUCUCCAUUAUCCCAAGCCGCAGCAGCCACUGUUUUCGCUAAGAUACCAAGGAUAGCACUCUUGGUUUCUAGGGUUUUAUAGUAAUAUAAUAUUAAAACUAAUAAUUUUUUAGUAACAUAAUUGAAAAUUUCAUAAAUUAAUCUUAAAAAUUAGUAAUUUUUUUAAAUGUAAGAGAAAUAUAAUUUUCUAAACAUUAUUAAAAUUUUAUUUAUAUAAUUUUAAAAAUACACAUUAAAAAUUAUUAAAAAGAACACAUUAAAAAACUAUUUAAAAUUUUUAAAAAAUAAUUUAAUCUUUUAAGCAGCAUACAUGAAUUUAAAUUUCAAAAUAUGUACAUGAUAUACUUUAAACAUAGAUGAAUAAAAGUAAACUUUAAAAAGUUUCUAAAAAGUUAAAAUAAUUUUUUGAAAAACAUUAUUACAAAUACAUUUCAUAAAUAAAAUUUUAAUAGAUUUCAUGAAUACUUUUUUUUUUAUAUUUGUUUAAUUUAAGAAUUUGUAUAUAUCGUACUUUAAUUUUAUCAAAUAAACAUUGAAUACAAAAUGUAUAAAAAGUAUAAUAUAAUUCAAAUUUAUUUAUAAUGUGAAUCAUUAAAUUUAUACAAAAUUAUUAAACAAUUUUAAAAUAUUUUAAUUGAUACAUAUAAUGAAACCUAAACUAGCAUAAUAUAUAAAUAAUUCAAAUAUCUUUAAAAUUUUAAAAAUCAAAAAUAUAAAUAUAAAUUAAAAAAAUCAAAAUUUUAUAUAAAAUAUAAAAAAAUCAUAUAUAAUAUAUAAAAAUUCAAAUUUUUUAAAAAAAUUUUAAACAAUGAAAAAGAAUUCUACAAUAUAUAAAUAUAUAAAUAUCAGAAUAUUAUAUAAAAAUUGAAAUUUUUAAAAAAAUUAUAUAAAAUCAAAAUAUUAUAUAAAAAUUUAAAUUAAAAAAUCUAAAAUUAUAAAACAUAUAAAUUGAAAUUUUUAAAAAUAAAAUAUUAUAUAAAAAUUGAAAUUUUCUCAUAAUUUUUUUUCAAAAACUCUAAAUUCUAAAGAUUCAAAAACAUAUAUCUAAAUUUCUAAAAGUUAAAAAUUUGUAUAUGUUUUGGAUGAACUUUGUCUAUUUUGGAAAUUUAGAUAUAUUGUUUUGAAUUUUUAGAAUUUUAAGUUUUUGAAAAAAAUAAAAAUUUAUGAAAAAAUUUAUUAGAAUAUAUAUUUGAAAAAUUAAUUUUUUUUUGCAAUUUUUUAAAAAUCAUUUUGAUUUUUUAAAAUUUAUAUUUAUAUAUUUCAUAAUUUUAUAUUUUUUAAAAUCUUUUGUUAAAAAUUAAUUUUUGAAUUAUUUAUAUACUAUAUAUUAUUUUUUACAAUUUAAAUAAUAUAUUAUCUAUAAUAUUAUAAAACACUAAAGAAGGGUGAUGUGAUGUGUUUUAAUUGCGCCACUUAGAUAGUCAAGGUUGGUUAACGCUGACCAAUGGUCUGUCAACGGUUGGUCAACAUUGACCAACGAUUGGUCAAUGUUGGUCAAUGACCAAUAAAUGGUGAGUUAAUGUUUUUAUUUUAAAUAAACUUAAGUGCCACAUGAUGUAUAUUGAUUGAUGUCAUGUGAUUGCUAGUUUUUAAGGGUAUUAAAAACAAAAAAAAACUAUUUCACUAAAAAAAAAUAAAAAAGACUGAAUCGGGUAACAGAAUGAUAAUUUUUUUUUGAUGUCUCAAGAUAUUUACUAGAGCGAACUCAGUAACUAAUUUUCUGUAUUCUGUAGGCCUAUUAAGAGGUAGAUAUUGACCACGAGUUUUAAAGUUAUUCUAUAUCUAGGGCGAGGAUCGAACUCUCAACCACUAGUUAAUGUAGGAAAGACUCUUAGCAUCUCACUUACCUCCUGUGGUUAACAAAAUGAUAAUUUAAGUAUAUAUCUGAGACAAAAAAGUUUAAAUAAUAAAUGGGAAAACAGGCCUAGUUGAAGGGCAAAAUUUAGCAUAAGUCUAAAAAAAAUAAAGAUUUUUGAUCCCAAAAUUAGGGAAGAGUUAUGGGUGAAAAUUUAUAUUGACAAGUUUGAGAUCGACAAGUGAAUAACCUUAGAUUGUCGAGAACUAAAAAAAAAUAGAAAUUUUCAAUAUAGCACUCAACAAGUAAUCUUUAUUACUUCAAAUUUGUUUAACAAAUGUUUGGGGGAAAUCCAAAAUCAAAACUGGGUUUUGUGUUUCAAGAGAUUGAAGGGUUAAAACAAAGGAAAACGACGACCGCUUUAGCUUGAUGUUGUCUAUUUUGACAUUUUAUGAAGCAUAAAAUUUGUGCAAAGGGAACAAGGACAAAGAUGAUAAAUAAUUCUUGAUUUAAUCUACCAUCUUACUCUUGUAUGGUUUGGGAAUGGACUAAUGAAAUAAAAUAAAAUAAUGGUGGUGAAGAAAAUUAAGAAAUGAGAAAGGUUGUAGGCAAGGUACUUUCAUGAAGCUCUCUUAAGGGUAAUAGUUUUCAGCUAUGAUGCAAUCUCCAUGGGAAGUCCAGAUCACCCGUGAAGCUAAUUUUGCAGCAGCCGUGACUAGGUACCUGGCAUGCAAUUGUUCGAUCAUACUCCUAGCGGCAUUUGAAUCUGCUCUUAUGAGGUGUUCAGGGUACAAUUUACCAGUAAUCCCCGCAAGAGCAAAACCCAUCUCUAAAAUGGUGAAACCGGCUUUGAUCCCUCACGAUAAUCUCUCGUUCAAAAACUUUUGAUGUAAGCUUAAUUGCCAAGUGACAAUCUGCACAAAUUCUCAAAUUCUUUACAAUCCUAAUGGGGGUCCCUGGUGCUGUCUUAAGUAGAAUGAAAGCAACCGCAAUCUUCUCGCUAUGGUAAGAUAAAGCAUUCUCUUUCUCUUCUUCCUCUAUAUCAGCAAGCACAUUUUCUGUAUGGGGAGCAUAACCUUCCAAUCUUAACCUCUUUGUUAUUUCUGCUAGCAUUGCAUAAAUUUGGUCACUUUGAGGAUGAGAUCUAUCGCCCAUUAGAAAUUCAUACACAUGAUUGCCAAACUCUACUAGGCUAUAACCUGGAAUUUUCUGCACUCCGUCGCUAAGCAUCUUUCUCCUGAGGACAUGCACAUCGGACCAGCGUUGCUCUGAAGCAUAGAGGUUGGAGAGGAGCACAUAGUCUCCACUAUACCCAGGUUCUAGCUUUAAUACUUGAGCUCUUGCAUACUCUCCUAAAGUCAAAUGGCCAUGCAUUGCGCACGCUCCUAACAAUGUCCUCCAUAUAACAGCAUUAGGCUGCAAUGGCAUGUUUCGGAUAUAUUGAUAUGCCUCCUUUACCAAGCCUGCCCUACUCAACAAAUCAACUAUGCAACCAUGAUGUUCUAUCUUGGGCACAAUCCCGUAUUUCUCUUUCAUCCUCUUAAAGUAACUGAAACCUUCAUCAACCAUCCCACAAUGACUACAAGCGUAGAGAACCCCAACAAAAGUAACUUCGCUAGGCACCAAUUCCUCUGUUUCCAUCUCCUUGAAAAGCUCAAGUGCUUCCUCGCCAAACCCAUUAACAGCCAAUCCGACAAUCAAAGAACUCCAUGAAACUGCAUUCCUUUCCUUCAUCUCAUCAAAUACUUUCCUUGCCUCUCUAAUGCUUCCACACUUUGCAUAAAAAUCUAACAGCGCAUUAUUAACAUGCAAAUUAUCAGUCAAACCAACCUUCACCAUAUAUAUGUGAACUCUCCUCCCCAACGCCAGAGCACCGAGCUCAGCACAAGCGGAUAACAAGCUAAGCACAGUAUACCCAUCAGGCUUUACACCUUCCAACCCCAUUUCCCUGAAGAGAGUCAGAGCCUCGUUAGGUUUUCCAUUAAGAGCGAACCCAUUAAUCACAGAAUUCCAAGCCACAAUAUCUCUCUCGGACAUUAAUUCAAACGCCUUAUGCGCACUAUCGACGAGCCCACAAGCGGCAUACAUGUGAAGCAAAGAAUUCUGAACAAAGGCUAACGAGUCAUACCCAUUUCUUAUAACUGUGGAAUGCACAAUUUCCCCGAUUCUUACAUCUGCCAACUUGGCAACGGCUUUUAAAAGAAAAGGGUAAGUGUGGGUAUCAGGUUGGAUGCAUGACGCCCGCAUCUGGCGGUAUAAUUGAAGGGCUGGCUCUGGGCUUUCACUCUCAGCAUAGCCUCUAAUCAUGGUAUUCCAGGUGAACACAUUAGAGCUCCGGAUACAAGAAAAGAUGUUGUGAGGAUAUGACAUAGGAGCAGAGAGCGAAACAAGGCUAUAGAUAAGGUGCUUGCCAAUAUCAGGGUCAUUGAGUGGGACCCCAUUCCUGAUAGAGAAAGCGUGGAUUUGUCUGAGUUUGAGUUUGGAAGAGCCGCAGUUUUGUAAAAGGAAAAUGCAUUUCUUGACCAACAAAGACUCUGGUUUGUGCGGGGAAGAUGAGGUUGGUGGGGUUGUGGAGUAGAAGCAUGAGGUUCGCGGAAGAGGGUGCUUUGAGAACAUCGAUCCAUAACUUCUACAUUUUGCUUUCUUCAUGAUGCAUUAUGGCUUGCUUUAUUAGAAUAUAUAAAUCAUAAAGGAUUCAGGAUUGGAGUUUAUCUCAAAUGUUUUUGAUAUUUAAUCAGAAACAGUUGCUGGCAAAUUUACUAAUAGUAGUAACAUUAGACAGAGUAGCAAGUCAACUAAGAUUCAUUUAUAUAUAUUCCUCACCAACCAACCAGUACUGACACCCGCUUUUUUGUCCAUAUAUACAAUAUCUUGAGCUAUAUUACAUAUCAAGGUUGAAAAAGAGCAAGGUAAGUGUUAAGUAUGACUAUUAUUUUCAGUUAAAUUUGAGAAAUAAUCUUCUAGUUAAAUUUUAUUUAUUUAUUUCAAUCAAACAUUGAUUAGUUUAGAUUAUUUUAUUAUUAUUUGACAUAUGAAUUUAACCUAUAAAUAGGCUCUUUUAUAACCUUAGAAAAGGCAUCCCAUUUAGAGAUUAGAACUCAUAACACAUUUAGAGAAUUUUGUGUUUACGUUUUGAUGGUUUUUUGUUUUCAGGGUUUGGGGUUUAAUUUUAUCUCCAUCUUUUGUACUCUUCGUUUUUUUUCCAUUAUAGUUAAAUUAUCUUUGCCCGUGGUUUUUUAUCCUCUUUGGAGGGGUUUUUCCACGUUAAAUUUGUGUGUUCAAUUUCUCAAUUUAUUCCGCUAUUUUUGUAACUUGUUUCUUAACUGGGUCAAUCCCUAACAAGUGGUAUUAGAGCUAGUUUAAUUUUCAUAGAUAAGCCCAUUCAGAUAUGGCAACAACAAUGUUUGAAAUUGAGAAGUUCGAUGGUGAGACAAAUUUCAAUUUGUGGCAAGUAUGGAUGAUGGCAAUUCUAGUUCAAUCUGGUUUGAAAAAGGUUGUUACCGGGAAAAAGCCUGAGAAUCUAAAUAAAACAGAAUGAGAAGAGCUUGAUGAAAAGGCCUUGUCUGUAAUCUAGUUGUGCCUCGCGAAUACGGUAUUGCAGGAGGCAUUGAUGGAGAAGACCUCAUCCGCAUUGUGGAAAAGGUUAGAAACUCUUUAUACGACUAAGUCUCUGGCUAACCGUUUAGUGUUGAAACAACAUUUAUUUACGUUUUGCAUGAACGAAUGUGAGCUUCUUAGAGAUCACAUCAGUCAAUUCAUUACUAUUUUAAAUGAUUUAAAGAACGUUGAGGUUCAUAUUGAUGAUGAAGAUUAAGCUAUGCUAUUAUUGUGCUCUUUACCCCCUUCACACAAGUCUAUCAAGGAGACCCUAAUUUAUGGCAAAGACAAAAUCUCGUUCGAAGAUGUGAAAGGUCAUUUGUUGAGUAGAGACAAACUCGACAAUGAGCUUCAUUUGGAUAGCAAGGCAGAUAGGCAAGCUUCCGUUUUGAUGGCAUCAAAGAAACGAGACAAAAGGUGUCGCUAUUGUAAAAAGUUAGGUCACAUCAAAGCAAAUUGUUAUAAACUGCGAAAUAAAAGAGCUGCUGAGAGUAACGAGAAAGAUGUAGUUGGUGCUAAUUUGAUCGAUGAAAGCGGUGAUGAUUUCUUGUUAGUGUCAACGAGCGAUAACUCCAAGUUCACGUUCGAGUGGAUCCUAGAUUCGGGAUGUUUUUUCCACAUGUGUCCCAAUAGAGAAUGGUUCUCCACAUACAGUUUGGUUGAAGGUGGAGUUGUGCGUAUGAGAAACGAUUCAUCUAGUAAGGUAAUUGGUAUUGAUACUGUUAAAAUUAGGAUACACGAUAGGACGAUUAGGACACUCUCAGAUGUCAGGUAUGUACCUGAUUUACGAAAGAAUCUCAUCUCCUUAAGUAUUUUAGACUUGAAAGGAUGUAGAAUCAACAUCGAGUCAAGUGACAUUAAAGUAUCUCGUGGAGCUCUCGUUUUGUUAAAAGGUAAAAGAACUGGCAGUCUUUAUAUUCUGGAAGGUUCUACAGUGACCGGUGAAAUCGGACGUCCCUCGUCCAUUACAGAGUCGAAUUCAACUCGUUUGGAGCGGAGGCAACUUGGUCAUAGGAGGGAAAAAUGUAUGACCAUUUCGUUGAAGAGAGGUUCUCUUUUGAAUGUAGGUUUUGAAAAGUUAGGGCACUGUGUUCGUGAAAAUCAGACUCUGGUUAGUUUUGAUUUGGCAAUGUACAAGUCGAAGGCUAGAAGUCUUCCAGUUUCUAAACACAGAUUUGACUCAGUUAAUUCCAUGCAUAGUUCAAGAUAGGCUCGUGGCGGGCUUUCGGCAAAGAUGGCAUUGUAGAAAUAUGAGCCAAGGUGGAGAUUUGUUAAGUAUGACUCCUAUUUUCAGUUAAAUUUAAGAAAUAAUCUUCCAGUUAAACUCUGUUUAUUUGUUUCUAUCAAACACUGAUUAGUUUAGAUUAUUUUUAUUAUUAUUUGGCAUAUGAAUUUAGCCUAUAAAUAGACUUUUUUACAACCUUAGAAAAGACACCCCAUUUAGAGAUUAGAACUCAUUACACAUUUAGAGAAUUUUGUGUUUACAUUUUGAGGGUUCUUUGUUUUCGGGAUUUGGGGUUUAGUUUUAUCUCCAUCUUUUGUGCUUUUCGUUCUUUUGCCAUUAUAGUAAAAUUAUAUUUGCCCGUGGUUUUUUAUCCUCUUUGGAGGGGUUUUUCCACGUUAAAUUUGUGUGUUCAAUUUUUCAAUUUAUUCAGCUAUUUUUGUAACUUGUUGCUUAAUCGGGUCGAUCCCUAACAGUAACGAAAGGUUAAUUAAUGAUUGUAUCAAUCAAAAAGUUCCAUUGUGGCGUGGCAUUGGUGAAGGAUCAAAGGUCUUCUACUUGGUUGAGUUGUGAUAGCAACAGGCUCUGCUCUACCAUUUGAUAUCUUUAGCAUGUCAAGUGUUUCAACACAUUUCUCAACCCUCUUGCCUAGAAAACCAUACACUAAACUGUUCUGAUUGUUGAGUCACGUUCUGCAUUUUAUGAUGACGGGAUCAAUGUUUAUUAUGUGCGAGGAAUUUGAAACUUCUCUCGUUCUGAAUGAAUCCAGCUUAAGCACCUGCAAACUUUUCUGGGCAACAGCAUCUCUCUCGGCAACAAUGUUGUCUACCUUUAUUGCUUGUCCCAUCAGCAUCUCACCUCCGGUACCUGGACUCCAUUGGAGAUUGAUUUUUCCAUUGCAAAAACCUAAGAGGCCGCCCCCGGCCCCCAACAACAUUCAAGUUCCUGGCUCAUGCAACAAUAACAUUAAAUUUCUUAAUGCAUUAAAAAUAAAAAGGAAAAAAAAAUUGAAGUAGAAUUGAAAAAGGAAUUUGUUCUUAUGUAUCUAAUAGAAAAAAUAAGGAUUUUGAAUUUGGCUAAAACUUGAGAUUGUGACAAACACGUUGAUAAGGUGAUGAUGGGGCCUGUACUAGAGGUGAUCAUGGCUGGGCCAGGCUCAGACAAAAUUUUAGGCCCAUUUUUUAGGCCCGAGCUUGGCCUAGCCUGAAAUAUGGGCCUAAAAAUUUGUCCAAACCCGGUCUGAGAGAAAAUUACUAAGCUCGAGCCUGGCCCGGCUCGGCCCAUAUUAAAUAUAUAUAAUAUAUAAUAUAUAUUUGAUUAAAAAUAAAAAUAUAUAUUUAAUAUAUAAUUCGGGCCAGGUCGGGCUCGACAAAAAAAGUUUUACCCGAGGCUCGGCCCGUUUUCUAAACGGGCUUUAUUUUUUUACCUAAACCCAUAUUUCGGGCCUAUAUUUUUACCCGAACCCUCCUAUUUUUUGGGCGGGUCGUCGGGCCGGGCCGGGUAGCCCAACCCAUGAUCACCUCUAGCCUGUACCAAAGCUCCUAAAAUGCGGGGAGUGGUAGGAUGGUAAAACUUGAACUAUUUCUUGAAUUUUAGUACGGAUGGUAAAAUUUGAACUGUUUCUUGAAUUUUAAAAUGAUUUGUUUCAUGUGGAGUGGAUUUUUUUCUUCUGAAAAGUGGAUGUGGGGCGGGUGGAUUUUUUUUAGAGGGUGAGUAUGAAGUGGUUAUAGUAAUUGCUUCUCUUGCUCCGCUCGACAAUAUAAAAUUACCAUUUUAUUUUUGUAUAUAUAUAACUAUUAAAAGGGUAAAUUUAUAAUAAUGUAUUAUAGAAAAAUUCAUAUAUUUUAUGUUCAAAUAAUUUUCUAAAGAAUUAUGUUUAAUUGUUUAUUUUUUUAUUUGAAAUAAAUUUUCUUUAAAAAAUAAGGAUAACGGUGCCAUUAAAUGUUCCACUAUACCUCAUGUCUUGGGCCCCUCAACCUACCACCAAAAAAAUAAGCAAACGGUAAAAACAAAUGAAAUAAACUUCUUGAUAGAAAGCUAACAAACGAACAAACACCAACAAAAACAGUGUAAACUAAUCAAAACAACAAGAAAUAACAGCCCCUUCCUUUCCUCCUUCAGUUCCGAUGAAAACUUACUAAAAAUCUCUCCUCGGCACCGCCCCAUAAUAUCAUUGCCUACGCACUCUGAAAGAUUGAGAGGAGAGAAAAACUUUGGAGACCACAUGGAGGUAGAAAUGAUGGGCAUCUCCAAACUCCAAAGCUGACCAACACUGUUCAUCUUCGAGAAACCUAGCGCUACUGAUCUCUUUCAGUUUCUCGUUUCACUACCUGUGGGGCUUCCUCCACCUAGUAUCGUAGCUCAUGCAACCGUCACCCUUCAGUAGCCAAGGCAUGCGCAACAACGUUGGCUCGUCUACCAACAAACUGAAAGGUGAUUCUUUCGAAUCCCUCAUUUUUCCUUUGAUGUAUUUGAUGAUCGGGCUCAACAUAGACUUAUCUUGUGUAGCUAAGUUUACUUUCUUGAUUAUUGUUAGAGAGUCUCCCUCCACUUGUAUCGAUUUAAACCCUAGCUCCACAACAAAAUCAAUGCCCUGUUCACAAGCUCAUGCUUUGGCAACAAAAGCAUCGACAAUCCCAUAAUACAGGUAGGUACAUGCAGCCGUUAUUAAGCCCAAAGAAUUCUUGAUUACAACCUGUGAAAUGGAACUCUUUGUAAGAAGCAUUGAAGUUGACUUUCAUACAAUUUGAACCGGGCGGCAUCCAUUCCUCCUUUAUCUGCGACCAGGUUGAUGUUUUGAACUCAUCCACGACCUUCAGCUUUAAUAGGUAAGCCCUAAUGUACACAAUCAACUCUUGCACAGACUACCUAACACUCUCAUGCACAAUCUUGUUUCUAGCAUACCAGAUUGCCCAAUACGAUAUUUCUAUUAGUUUCAGUGUUUUUCCAUUAGAAAUCAUGACCACCUCUGCUAACCAUGACUUAUGGUCUGAGCUCUCUGAGAUAGGAACAGUUCCAAUAUUCAAAGAAUCCAUAAUCUAUUUUGAGAUAGAACAGAAACGUUCCACAUGAUUAAUGGACUCUUCUUCUGAGUUGCAUAAAAAGUAGAUAUUACUUACUUGGAGAUUUUUCCUUUGUAAAUUAUUCUUCCUCUAAGUUGCAUAAAAAGUAGAUAUUACUUACUUGGAGAUUUUUCCUUUGUAAAUUAUCAAAAGCACGUAGAUAAUUAUUUGUAAACCUCCAUAGUGUAAUCUUUAUUUUUGCUGGAAUUGGUAAAACCCAUAACCUAGAAUAGAACUUUGUAAAUAGGUUAGGCAUGGUGGCAUAAAAUCCCCUUUUUUGUAACUAUUCUUCUAGUAGUAGCCUAUAUCCUCUCUUAUAAGUAUAUUCCUUAGAACUCUCAUACCUCAAAACCAUCUCAUCAGUUACUUAUGAUCGGCCAAUCGGAAUACAAAAAAAUUUCUCUGCCAACUCCUCAUCAAACAAUGCUCUAAUUGCCCCCUAGACCCAAGUAUUAGUGCUAUGAUCAAUUAAAUUGGCUACUGUUGUGUACCUCACAUCAAUGUCCUGAUGCCUUACUCGUCCAUUGCCUUGUCCAGGGAUCCAAGAAUCAUUCUAGAUAUUAACAUUCUCACCUGCACCAAUUUUCCAACAUGUUCCCUUUUCAAUUAAGCUUCGAGCACUUUAAAUACUUCUCCAAGUAAGUGACGGGUAAGCUUCUAACUGAGCUUGGGAAAUAUCUUGCUUUUAUAACUUGAUCCAACAAACUGGAUGGUUUGGUUAAAAUACACCAAUAUUAUUUUUCUAACGAAGAAACAUUAAACAACGCUAGAUCACGAAAUCUCAAACCACCACAAGAUUUCAGUAAACAAAGAGUUUGCCAAGUGCUCCAAUGACAACCUCUACCCAAGGUGUUAUUCCUCCACCAAAAUAUAUUAAGUACACUUUCCAACCUGUUACAAAGUGGCUUAGGAAAAAGAAAGCACUACAUGACAUACACUGGCUGUAACUGCCCAAUUUUAGUGGUGCUAGAAAUAGUGGUUCGAGACCAUUAAAUUUGGUGAUUGAGUUGAAAAUUUUAUUAUCUAGUAUUUAUAAUCCAAAUGUGAUUUUAGGAAGACUUUUGAAUUAGUGAAUUGUGUUUUAGAAGAAUUUAUUAGGAUAAUUGGUUUUGAAAACGAGGUAUCGAGACCUUGAUUUUAUAAAUCGAGCCGUGAAUAUUUUAUAAAUAUUUACGGAGUUUCAUUAUGGUAUUAUUAAAGUUUCGUUAGAAAAUUUUAAUGUUUUGAUAGUUAAUUAAUUAAAAAGGAUUAGAUUGAAAAAGGUGCAAAACUUGUUAAUUAAAGAAAUAAUGAUUAAAUGGCUCAAGUGAUAAAUAAGGGAGGACUAAAAGGGCAAAUUAUCCCAAAGAGGAUGGCUGGGGCGGCAUAAGCAGAGAAAAUUCAUAAAAUUAGGUGAAACAAUGGCAAGAUUAGAAUUUUUGUAAAAAUUAAACAAAUAAACAAGCAAUUAAAAGAGAUUGGGAUUGAAAUGGUUGUGUAAAUGUCAAGAGUUACAUUUUGUUUAUGUUUCAAGUUAACUUAUAUAUGUAUGGUUUUAUCAUGUUUGGUAUAAGUACUAGUGUGGUUAAUGGAUGGAUAGUUCCUAGUCAUAGUAAUGAAUAAAUUGGUAAAACAUGUUGAUAUAGGUAGUUACACGUGUGAAUUGAUUUAUGUUCUAAUUAGAAUGUUAGAAUAUAUGUGAUAAUAUGGCCAUAUUAAAAUUAGGAAUUGGUAUUUUUGGUGACCUUGUUAUGACCUAUAUAUAAUGCAAUUUGAUGUGUGUAGGUUGAAGUCAAGAAUGAGUGAAAAAAGAGACCAUAAAAUGACUUGUUUUCGUCUACACGGGCAGAGACACGGAUGUGUGUCUCAGCCGUUUGUGACACACAGCCUGACACAUGGGUGUGUGGUUUGGCCAUGUGUCCCCUGUAUCUUAAAUUUUUAAAACAGAAUGUCCAAGUUUUUUCACAC
RNAcentral lists this long non-coding RNA (17078 nucleotides) under Gossypium barbadense (sea-island cotton). Its description in RNAcentral is "long non-coding RNA (GBAR_LNC021489)". The record is from RNAcentral. Lineage: Eukaryota; Viridiplantae; Streptophyta; Magnoliopsida; Malvales; Malvaceae.